Molecule: long non-coding RNA, 796 nt
Filed under: Triticum aestivum (bread wheat)
Lineage: Eukaryota; Viridiplantae; Streptophyta; Magnoliopsida; Poales; Poaceae
Description: long non-coding RNA (TAES_LNC002593)
Source: RNAcentral
AGAGAUAAGAUAGUGAGUUUUGUCAAAUUUCCUAUGCUAUUUGGGAUGGAACCAGUUAGUGUGUUGUAACUAAGCUCCAAAUUCUCUAAGUUCUCAAGGUAACCUAGUUCUCGAGGGAUGUGUCCAGAAAGUUGGUUGUUGUAAAGGGACAAGGUUGUAAGUUUGGUUAAAUUUCUUAUACUAUUUGGGAUGGAACCCGAGAGUAUAUUUUCACUAAGACUCAGGUACUAUAAGUUUGAAAGGCAAACUAACUUUCGUGGAAUUAACCCAGAAAGUUGGUUGUUGCUAAGGGAUAAGGUUGUGAGUUUGGUCAAAUUUCCUAUGCUAUUUGGGAUGGAACCUGAGAGUGUGUUUUCACUAAGACUCGGGUACUGUAAGUUCGAAAGGUAAUCUAUUUUUUGUGGAAUUAACCCAGAAAGUUUGUUUCGCCGUAGAAUUAACACGGUGAGCUUGGUCAAAUUAUGUAAAUUUCAUGGGACGGAACCUGAGAGUGCGUUGAUGCCAAGUUUUAGGUCCUUUAAGUUUAGAAGAUAACCUAGUUCUCGUGGAAUUUGUCCAGAAAGUUUGUUACAGUAUAGGUACAAGCUAGUGAGUUCGGUCAAACCACCUAUCUUGAUAUUUUGCCAAAAGGAUUAUUACUGGACAAAUCUAAUGCAACUAAGUGCUUGAUGUGUCCUAUUUGACAAGGGAUAUGACCAACCAAGUGAUUGCUUGACAAGUUGAGGGUGACAAGACUACUCAUGUUGCCUAUCUGGCUUGGUAUUUCAUCGGAGAGUUCAUUUUCGUGAAGCAUUAA